CAACCACACAUCAUGAAUAUCUUUCCAUGUCUGCAAAUACACUCCUAUCCCAUUACAAUUAAAGCCUGACAAGCGUUUCACUGUGUAAAGCUUCCACAACGAAUCUGCCAAUCCCUUAUUGCCCCCUCUUUAAACAGAUAUCUUGGAAUUCAGGGAAAGAAGGUGGAAUAUGUACAAGCUUGUUAACUUCUUCCAAGUAUUGAUAAAAAAAAAAAAAAAACUAAAAAAUAAAUAAAAAUAGGGUAGGUUUUAUGAGCCUUGAAACCAGGAAAUAGUGCCAGCCCCGUUUCAUAAACUCAGAACAAUAUUUCC
RNAcentral lists this long non-coding RNA (312 nucleotides) under Homo sapiens (human). RNAcentral describes it as "HSALNT0308578". The record is from RNAcentral. Lineage: Eukaryota; Metazoa; Chordata; Mammalia; Primates; Hominidae.